AGAGCGAACGCUGGCGGCAGGCCUAACACAUGCAAGUCGAGCGCCCGUAGCAAUACGGGAGCGGCAGACGGGAUAGUAACACGUGGGAACGCGCCCUUCGGUUCGGAAUAACUCAGGGAAACUUGAGCUAAUACCGGAUACGCCCUUACGGGGAAAGAUUUAUUGCCGAAGGAACGGCCCGCGUCCGAUUAGCUAGUUGGUGAGGUAAUGGCUCACCAAGGCGACGAUCGGUAGCUGGUCUGAGAGGAUGACCAGCAUCACUGGGACUGAGACACGGCCCAGACUCCUACGGGAGGCAGCAGUGGGGAAUAUUGGACAAUGGGCGCAAGCCUGAUCCAGCCAUGCCGCGUGGAUGAUGAAGGCCUUAGGGUUGUAAAGUCCUUUUAACGGGAAGAUAAUGACGGUACCGUAGAAUAAGCCCGGCUAACUUCGCGCCAGCAGCCGC
Molecule: ribosomal RNA, 445 nt
Filed under: uncultured bacterium
Lineage: Bacteria
Description: SSU rRNA
Rfam family: Bacterial small subunit ribosomal RNA
Source: RNAcentral